This 1667-nucleotide ribosomal RNA is filed under the name marine metagenome. RNAcentral's name for it is "bacterial LSU rRNA". It matches the Rfam family "Bacterial large subunit ribosomal RNA", at positions 600 to 2269 of the family's 2925-position model. The record is from RNAcentral.
CGUACCUUUUGUAUAAUGGGUCAGCGACUUACAUUCAGUGGCAAGGUUAACCGAAUAGGGAAGCCGUAGAGAAAUCGAGUCCGAAUAGGGCGAAUUAGUCGCUGGGUGUAGACCCGAAACCAAGUGAUCUAUCCAUGGGCAGGAUGAAGGUGCCGUAACAGGUACUGGAGGUCCGAACCGACUAAUGUUGCAAAAUUAGCGGAUGACCUGUGGAUAGGGGUGAAAGGCUAAACAAACUUGGAAAUAGCUGGUUCUCUCCGAAAACUAUUUAGGUAGUGCCUCAAGUAUUACCUGCGGGGGUAGAGCACUGUUUUGGCUAGGGGGUCAUGGCGACUUACCAAACCAAUGCAAACUCCGAAUACCGCAGAGUACAGCUUGGGAGACAGAGCACCGGGUGCUAACGUCCGGACUCAAGAGGGAAACAACCCAGACCGCCAGCUAAGGUCCCUAAAAUUGGCUAAGUGGGAAACGAAGUGGGAAGGCUAAAACAGUCAGGAUGUUGGCUUAGAAGCAGCCAUCAUUUAAAGAAAGCGUAAUAGCUCACUGAUCGAGUCGUCCUGCGCGGAAGAUGUAACGGGGCUAAGCCAGUUACCGAAGCUGCGGAUUUGCAAUUUAUUGCAAGUGGUAGGAGAGCGUUCUGUAAGCCUGUGAAGGUGCGUUGUAAAGCGUGCUGGAGGUAUCAGAAGUGCGAAUGCUGACAUGAGUAGCGUUAAAGGGGGUGAAAAGCCCCCUCGCCGUAAGCGCAAGGUUUUCUACGCAACGUUCAUCGGCGUAGAGUGAGUCGGCCCCUAAGGCGAGGCAGAGAUGCGUAGUUGAUGGGAAACAGGUAAAUAUUCCUGUACCGAUGUGUAGUGCGAUGUGGGGACGGAGAAGGUUAGCUCAGCAGACUGUUGGAUAUGUCUGUUCAAGCCUGUAGUCGUGCCUGGUAGGUAAAUCCGCCGGGCUUAGAUGAGGGGUGAUAACGAGGAUGCUUGCAUCCGAAGUGAGUGAUACCCUGCUUCCAGGAAAAGCCACUAAGCUUCAGCUACACACGACCGUACCGCAAACCGACACUGGUGCGCGAGAUGAGUAUUCUAAGGCGCUUGAGAGAACUCAGGAGAAGGAACUCGGCAAAUUGACACCGUAACUUCGGAAGAAGGUGUGCCUUUAGUAUGUGAACCUGUACAAGGGGAGCAGAAUGAGGCCUCAGAGAAUCGGUGGCUGCGACUGUUUAAUAAAAACACAGCACUCUGCAAACACGAAAGUGGACGUAUAGGGUGUGACGCCUGCCCGGUGCUGGAAGAUUAAAUGAUGGGGUGCAAGCUCUUGAUUGAAGUCCCAGUAAACGGCGGCCGUAACUAUAACGGUCCUAAGGUAGCGAAAUUCCUUGUCGGGUAAGUUCCGACCUGCACGAAUGGCGUAACGAUGGCCACACUGUCUCCUCCUGAGACUCAGCGAAGUUGAAAUGUUUGUGAUGAUGCAAUCUCCCCGCGGAAAGACGGAAAGACCCCAUGAACCUUUACUGUAGCUUUGUAUUGGAUUUUGAACGGAUCUGUGUAGGAUAGGUGGGAGGCUUUGAAGCCGGGACGCUAGUCUCGGUGGAGCCAACGUUGAAAUACCACCCUGGUGCGUUUGAGGUUCUAACCUAGGUCCAUUAUCUGGAUCGGGGACAGUGCAUGGUAGGCAGU